Molecule: ribosomal RNA, 424 nt
Filed under: uncultured bacterium
Lineage: Bacteria
Description: bacterial SSU rRNA
Rfam family: Bacterial small subunit ribosomal RNA
Source: RNAcentral
UCGGGAAUUUUGCUCAAUGGGCGCAAGCCUGAAGCAGCAACGCCGCGUGAGGGAUGAAGGCCUUCGGGUUGUAAACCUCUUUUUUCAGGGACGAUGAUGACGGUACCUGGAGAAUAAGCCACGGCUAACUACGUGCCAGCAGCCGCGGUAAUACGUAGGUGGCAAGCGUUGUCCGGAUUUACUGGGCGUAAAGAGCGCGCAGGCGGUCGAAUCAGUCGAAUGUGAAAGCCCCCGGCUUAACUGGGGAGGGUCAUUCGAUACUGCUCGACUCGAAGGCAGGAGAGGGAAGUGGAAUUCCCGGUGUAGUGGUGAAAUGCGUAGAUAUCGGGAGGAACACCAGUGGCGAAGGCGACUUUCUGGCCUGUUCUUGACGCUGAGGCGCGAAAGCUAGGGGAGCAAACGGGAUUAGAUACCCCCGUAGUCC